CGCUGAGCUUGGCAAGGUCACCGUGAAUCGUGGCCUGAUGGGUAGAUCGCAUGAUUUGCUUACAUCGCUGCACCUCGCUUCCCCCUUGCAGUCAGCCGUCCUUGCGGGCGUAUCCAAACAACUGAGAGAGCAACAGGGAGUCAGUCGAGAUGUCCGAUCGCGAAACCGGUACCGUCAAGUGGUUCAAUGAUGCCAAGGGCUUCGGCUUCAUCAGCCGCGAGAAUGGCGAAGAUGUGUUCGUGCACUUCCGCGCCAUCCAGACCCAGGGCUUCAAGAGCCUGAAGGAAGGCCAGAAGGUCACCUUCACCGUCGUCCAGGGCCAGAAGGGCCUGCAGGCCGACGCCGUGCAGCCGGACUGAUUCCGGCUGCCACUGGCAGCGAAAAGGCCCGCGUCAGCGGGCCUUUUCGUU
This 410-nucleotide small RNA is filed under the name Stenotrophomonas daejeonensis. RNAcentral's name for it is "cspA thermoregulator". It matches the Rfam family "cspA thermoregulator". The record is from Rfam by way of RNAcentral. Lineage: Bacteria; Pseudomonadati; Pseudomonadota; Gammaproteobacteria; Lysobacterales; Lysobacteraceae.